Molecule: RNA transcript, 1691 nt
Organism: Sapajus apella (tufted capuchin)
Lineage: Eukaryota; Metazoa; Chordata; Mammalia; Primates; Cebidae
Gene: AP3S1
Gene name: adaptor related protein complex 3 subunit sigma 1
Exons: 8
Source: RefSeq, a predicted model, not a curated record
GUGCUUUUCUCCAGGGAGCGACCCAAAAGAGGCGCCAGAGUAGGGGUACCCAAUUCCACAGUGAAAGUUGGAAUUACGGGCUAGUCCUUCAAAUCCAAGCUGUGGCAGACUGUCAUCGUUAAUAAUGCAAUGCGUGUUUCUCCGCGACAACAGACCUCAGGAGAGGACCGUAGGCAACGUGCCAGUGCUCAGUCGAGUGAGCAGACACCCCUUAGGCAACUGGCUCGGACCCAGAAACGUUUCCGCUUUCCUCAGUGCCUGCCCCGCCCAAGCCCCGCCCCUCGGGCCCCGCCCAGCUGCUCGAGAGCGCGCGCGCGCGCGUGCGGGAGGGGGCGGGUGGGGAAGGAUUGCAGGCGAGAUUACUAGGCGAGGCUCGCGCGCCCGCCCCCGCCCUGGCCCCCAGUGCCCACCCGGUCGGCCCGGUACAGCCAUGAUCAAGGCGAUCCUAAUUUUCAAUAACCACGGGAAACCGCGGCUCUCCAAGUUCUACCAGCCCUACAGUGAAGAUACACAACAGCAAAUCAUCAGGGAGACUUUCCAUUUGGUAUCUAAGAGAGAUGAAAAUGUUUGUAAUUUCCUAGAAGGAGGAUUAUUAAUUGGAGGAUCCGACAACAAACUGAUUUAUAGACAUUAUGCAACGUUAUAUUUUGUCUUCUGUGUGGAUUCUUCAGAAAGUGAACUUGGCAUUUUAGAUCUAAUUCAAGUAUUUGUGGAAACAUUAGACAAAUGUUUUGAAAAUGUCUGUGAACUGGAUUUGAUUUUCCAUGUAGACAAGGUUCACAAUAUUCUUGCAGAAAUGGUGAUGGGGGGAAUGGUAUUGGAGACAAACAUGAAUGAGAUUGUUACACAAAUUGAUGCACAAAAUAAGCUGGAAAAAUCUGAGACCUUUAUCUUUCAGUCUCCCAGACAGGACAGGUAGACAAGCAAAUAGUUUACACUGGCCUAUUUUGUAUCAGUCAAGAUUUUUCUCAGGCUGGCUUAGCGGGAGCUCCAGCCCGUGCUGUAUCAGCUGUAAAGAAUAUGAAUCUUCCUGAGAUACCAAGAAAUAUUAACAUUGGUGACAUCAGUAUAAAAGUGCCAAACCUGCCCUCUUUUAAAUAAAAAUUUUUAAAGGCUACUCCCAGGUAAAAUCCAGGGGGAAAAGUCAUCUAAGUUUACCAUGCAGUUGUUUACCAAAAAUAGAGGAGGAGAGUCUUAACUUUUGCUCUUGGAUUUAAGUCAAGGUACUGUACAGAAGUUGUGUAAAAUCAUUAUGAAAGUUCAAUGUUGCUUUUCUUGCUCAGUGAUUUUAAAGAAAUUGAGUAGUUCCUAUGUGAUUUUUUUUUCUUUUCUAAACUGCUUUCCUGUGUCCACCUACGGCAUGCCUCUAUGUAUUGGCUACUACAGUGUUUUAAAAAGUGUUUCAGAUAUUUCUUUAAUUAUGUACAACCUAAAAUGUUGGUGUUUUGUAUGGAUCACAAGUGCAGCAUUCCUUAAUUCCUUCUGCCAUUUGUCACACAAUUGUUAUUUAAAGAACCAAGUAUGUAUUGCAUGAAAACAUUAUGACUUUUUUCUCUUAGUUUAAAUAAACUCCAAGGUAACUGGACUUCUAAAGCACCUUUCUGUUUGCCUGAUAUCUACUUUAGCAAUAAUUUUUUUUUACAACCCUCUGACUCAACAAAGUAAAUAAAAGUAUAUUUUAUCACUGUUAA